RNAcentral lists this ribosomal RNA (540 nucleotides) under uncultured Geobacteraceae bacterium. RNAcentral describes it as "bacterial SSU rRNA". It matches the Rfam family "Bacterial small subunit ribosomal RNA", at positions 9 to 526 of the family's 1533-position model. The record is from RNAcentral. Lineage: Bacteria; Pseudomonadati; Thermodesulfobacteriota; Desulfuromonadia; Geobacterales; Geobacteraceae.
GAGUUUGAUCCUGGCUCAGAACGAACGCUGGCGGCGUGCCUAACACAUGCAAGUCGAACGUGAUCCAGAGCUUGCUCUGGUGAAAGUGGCGCACGGGUGAGUAACGCGUGGAUAACCUACCCUGGUAUCCGGGAUAACAUUCCGAAAGGGGUGCUAAUACCGGAUAAGCCCACGGGCUCUUUGGAGCUUGCGGGAAAAGGUGGCCUCUAUUUAUAAGCUACUGUAUCAGGAUGGGUCCGCGUACCAUUAGCUAGUUGGCGGUGUAACGGACCACCAAGGCGACGAUGGUUAGCUGGUCUGAGAGGAUGAUCAGCCACACUGGAACUGAGACACGGUCCAGACUCCUACGGGAGGCAGCAGUGGGGAAUUUUGCGCAAUGGGGGAAACCCUGACGCAGCAACGCCGCGUGAGUGAUGAAGGCCUUUGGGUCGUAAAGCUCUGUCAGAGGGGAAGAAAUGAUAUAGUGCUAAUACCGCUUUAUCUUGACGGUACCCUCAAAGGAAGCACCGGCUAACUCCGUGCCAGCAGCCGCGGUAAUAC